AUUGCUUCUAGGCUUUUUUUGCUAAGAUUAAGUAUAAAGUAUAGUACCUGUUUUUACUAGUAUAACAUCUGACUUCCUCUGAGAACAAUAUGUUAAGUAGAUUUUUGGAGCUGGAAUAUGGAGCUGACAUUUCUUCGGUGCAUUCCCACACCAACCUGAUAUUGCAGUAUAUUCAGGCACCCUUU
This is a small nuclear RNA of Mesocricetus auratus (golden hamster), 185 nucleotides long. Its record names the gene U2. It matches the Rfam family "U2 spliceosomal RNA". From Rfam's summary of the family: U2 is a small nuclear RNA (snRNA) component of the spliceosome (involved in pre-mRNA splicing). Complementary binding between U2 snRNA (in an area lying towards the 5' end but 3' to hairpin I) and the branchpoint sequence (BPS) of the intron results the bulging out of an unpaired adenosine, on the BPS, which initiates a nucleophilic attack at the intronic 5' splice site, thus starting the first of two transesterification reactions that mediate splicing. Lineage: Eukaryota; Metazoa; Chordata; Mammalia; Rodentia; Cricetidae. The record is from Ensembl.